RNAcentral lists this ribosomal RNA (409 nucleotides) under uncultured microorganism. RNAcentral's name for it is "bacterial SSU rRNA". It matches the Rfam family "Bacterial small subunit ribosomal RNA", at positions 509 to 917 of the family's 1533-position model. The record is from RNAcentral.
CAGCCGCCGCGGUAAUACGUAGGGGGCGAGCGUUGUCCGGAAUUAUUGGGCGUAAAGCGCGCGCAGGCGGUCCCUUAAGUCUGAUGUGAAAGCCCACGGCUCAACCGUGGAGGGUCAUUGGAAACUGGGGGACUUGAGUGCAGAAGAGGAGAGCGGAAUUCCACGUGUAGCGGUGAAAUGCGUAGAGAUGUGGAGGAACACCAGUGGCGAAGGCGGCUCUCUGGUCUGUAACUGACGCUGAGGCGCGAAAGCGUGGGGAGCAAACAGGAUUAGAUACCCUGGUAGUCCACGCCGUAAACGAUGAGUGCUAAGUGUUAGAGGGGUUUGCCCUUUAGUGCUGUAGCUAACGCGUUAAGCACUCCGCCUGGGGAGUACGGCCGCAAGGCUGAAACUUAAAGGAAUUGGCGGG